UGGGGAAUAUUGGACAAUGGGCGAAAGCCUGAUCCAGCCAUGCCGCGUGUGUGAAGAAGGUCUUCGGAUUGUAAAGCACUUUAAGUUGGGAGGAAGGGCAUUAACCUAAUACGUUAGUGUUUUGACGUUACCGACAGAAUAAGCACCGGCUAACUCUGUGCCAGCAGCCGCGGUAAUACAGAGGGUGCAAGCGUUAAUCGGAAUUACUGGGCGUAAAGUGCGCGUAGGUGGUUUGUUAAGUUGGAUGUGAAAGCCCCGGGCUCAACCUGGGAACUGCAUCCAAAACUGGCAAGCUAGAGUACGGUAGAGGGUGGUGGAAUUUCCUGUGUAGCGGUGAAAUGCGUAGAUAUAGGAAGGAACACCAGUGGCGAAGGCGACCACCUGGACUGAUACUGACACUGAGGUGCGAAAGCGUGGGGAGCAAACA
RNAcentral lists this ribosomal RNA (427 nucleotides) under uncultured bacterium. Its description in RNAcentral is "partial 16S ribosomal RNA". It matches the Rfam family "Bacterial small subunit ribosomal RNA", at positions 355 to 774 of the family's 1533-position model. The record is from RNAcentral.